RNAcentral lists this ribosomal RNA (253 nucleotides) under uncultured bacterium. RNAcentral describes it as "partial 16S ribosomal RNA". It matches the Rfam family "Bacterial small subunit ribosomal RNA", at positions 524 to 776 of the family's 1533-position model. The record is from RNAcentral.
UACGUAGGUGGCAAGCGUUGUCCGGAAUUAUUGGGCGUAAAGCGCGUGCAGGCGGUUCCCUAAGUCUUAUGUGAAAACCCACCGCUCUACCGUGGAGGGUCUUUGGAAACUGGGGGACUUGAGUGCAGAAGAGGAGAGCGGAAUUCCACGUGUAGCGGUGAAAUGCGUAGAGAUGUGGAGGAACACCAGUGGCGAAGGCGGCUCUCUGGUCUGUAACUGACGCUGAGGCGCGAAAGCGUGGGGAGCAAACAGG